CUUGCUUCUUCUGGAUCAGUGGCGAACGGGUGAGUAACACGUGAGUAACCUGCCCUUGACUCUGGGAUAAGCGUUGGAAACGACGUCUAAUACCGGAUACGACCUUUGAAGGCAUCUUCUAAAGGUGGAAAGAAUUUUGGUCAAGGAUGGACUCGCGGCCUAUCAGCUAGUUGGUGAGGUAACGGCCCACCAAGGCGACGACGGGUAGCCGGCCUGAGAGGGUGACCGGCCACACUGGGACUGAGACACGGCCCAGACUCCUACGGGAGGCAGCAGUGGGGAAUAUUGCACAAUGGGCGAAAGCCUGAUGCAGCAACGCCGCGUGAGGGACGACGGCCUUCGGGUUGUAAACCUCUUUUAGUAGGGAAGAAGCGAAAGUGACGGUACCUGCAGAAAAAGCACCGGCUAACUACGUGCCAGCAGCCGCGGUAAUACGUAGGGUGCAAGCGUUAUCCGGAAUUAUUGGGCGUAAAGAGCUCGUAGGCGGUUUGUCGCGUCUGCUGUGAAAACUGGAGGCUCAACCUCCAGCCUGCAGUGGGUACGGGCAGACUAGAGUGCGGUAGGGGAGAUUGGAAUUCCUGGUGUAGCGGUGGAAUGCGCAGAUAUCAGGAGGAACACCGAUGGCGAAGGCAGAUCUCUGGGCCGUAACUGACGCUGAGGAGCGAAAGCAUGGGGAGCGAACAGGAUUAGAUACCCUGGUAGUCCAUGCCGUAAACGUUGGGAACUAGAUGUAGGGACCAUUCCACGGUUUCUGUGUCGCAGC
This 763-nucleotide ribosomal RNA is filed under the name bacterium. Its description in RNAcentral is "bacterial SSU rRNA". It matches the Rfam family "Bacterial small subunit ribosomal RNA", at positions 79 to 852 of the family's 1533-position model. The record is from RNAcentral.